This 82-nucleotide transfer RNA is filed under the name Thalassospira sp. HJ. It matches the Rfam family "tRNA". From Rfam's summary of the family: Transfer RNA (tRNA) molecules are approximately 80 nucleotides in length. The record is from Rfam by way of RNAcentral. Lineage: Bacteria; Pseudomonadati; Pseudomonadota; Alphaproteobacteria; Rhodospirillales; Thalassospiraceae.
GCGGGUGUGGCGGAACUGGUAGACGCGCUGGAUUUAGGUUCCAGUGGAGCAAUCCGUGGGGGUUCGAGUCCCUUCACCCGUA